AGCUCCAAUAGCGUAUAUUAAAGUUGUUGCAGUUAAAAAGCUCGUAGUUGGAUUUCUGGUGCAUUCCACUGGCCUAUUGGUUAACUCCAACUUGGCUCAUUUGGAAUACGCCAUCUUUAGGCAGACCCGUCGUGGCAUUAGGUUGUCGUGAUGGUUACGCCUAUCGUUUACUGUGAAGAAAUUAGGGUGUUCAAAGCAGGCUUAUGCCAUGAAUACGUUAGCAUGGAAUAAUGAGAUAGGAUUUCGGUACUAUUUUGUUGGUUUGUGUACGGAAAUAAUGAUUAACAGGAACAGUGUUGUGGGUAUUCGUAUUUCGUUGUCAGAGGUGAAAUUCUUGGAUUUACGAAAGACGAACGACUGCGAAAGCAUUUACCAAGGAUGUUUUCAUUA
Molecule: ribosomal RNA, 390 nt
Filed under: Bacillariophyta sp.
Lineage: Eukaryota; Bacillariophyta
Also listed under: 1 other name
Description: SSU rRNA
Rfam family: Eukaryotic small subunit ribosomal RNA
Source: RNAcentral